RNAcentral lists this ribosomal RNA (484 nucleotides) under uncultured bacterium. RNAcentral's name for it is "partial 16S ribosomal RNA". It matches the Rfam family "Bacterial small subunit ribosomal RNA", at positions 30 to 507 of the family's 1533-position model. The record is from RNAcentral.
AUUGAACGCUGGCGGCAGGCCUAACACAUGCAAGUCGAGCGGAUGAAGGGAGCUUGCUCCUGGAUUCAGCGGCGGACGGGCGAGUAAUGCCUAGGAAUCUGCCUGGUAGUGGGGGAUAACGUCCGGAAACGGGCGCUAAUACCGCAUACGUCCUGAGGGAGAAAGGGGGGGAUCUUCGGACCUCACGCUAUCACAUGAGCCUAGGUCGGAUUAGCUAGUUGGUGGGGUAAAGGCCUACCAAGGCGACGAUCCGUAACUGGUCUGAGAGGAUGAUCAGUCACACUGGAACUGAGACACGGUCCAGACUCCUACGGGAGGCAGCAGUGGGGAAUAUUGGACAAUGGGCGAAAGCCUGAUCCAGCCAUGCCGCGUGUGUGAAGAAGGUCUUCGGAUUGUAAAGCACUUUAAGUUGGGAGGAAGGGCAGUAAGUUAAUACCUUGCUGUUUUGACGUUACCAACAGAAUAAGCACCGGCUAACUUCGUG